ACACGGCCCAGACUCCUACGGGAGGCAGCAGUGGGGAAUUUUGGACAAUGGGCGAAAGCCUGAUCCAGCCAUGCCGCGUGCAGGAUGAAGGCCUUCGGGUUGUAAACUGCUUUUGUACGGAACGAAAAGACUCUGGUUAAUACCUGGGGUCCAUGACGGUACCGUAAGAAUAAGCACCGGCUAACUACGUGCCAGCAGCCGCGGUAAUACGUAGGGUGCAAGCGUUAAUCGGAAUUACUGGGCGUAAAGCGUGCGCAGGCGGUUAUAUAAGACAGAUGUGAAAUCCCCGGGCUCAACCUGGGAACUGCAUUUGUGACUGUAUAGCUAGAGUACGGCAGAGGGGGAUGGAAUUCCGCGUGUAGCAGUGAAAUGCGUAGAUAUGCGGAGGANACACCGAUGGCGAAGGCAAUCCCCUGGGCCUGUACUGACGCUCAUGCACGAAAGCGUGGGGAGCAAACAGGAUUAGAUACCCUGGUAGUCCACGCCGUAAACGAUGUCGACUUGGAGGUUGUGCCCUUGAGGCGUGGCUUCCGGAGCUAACGCGUUAAGUCGACCGCCUUGGGGAGUACGGCCGCAAGNGUUAAAACUCAAAUGAAUUGACGGGGGCCCGCACAAGCGGUGGAGCAUGUGGUUUAAUUCGAUGCAACGCGAAGAACCUUACCUGGUCUUGACAUCCAGAGAACUUUCCAGAGAUGGAUUGGUGCCUUCGGGAACUCUGAGACAGGUGCUGCAUGGCUGUCGUCAGCUCGUGUUGUGAAAUGUUGGGUUAAGUCCCGCAACGAGCGCAACCCUUAUCCUUUGUUACCAGCGGUCCGGCCGGGAACUCAAAGGAGACUGCCAGUGAUAAACUGGAGGAAGGUGGGGAUGACGUCAAGUCAUCAUGGCCCUUACGAGUAGGGCUACACACGUGCUACAAUGGCGCAUACAAAGAGAAGCGACCUCGCGAGAGCAAGCGGACCUCAUAAAGUGCGUCGUAGUCCGGAUUGGAGUCUGCAACUCGACUCCAUGAAGUCGGAAUCGCUAGUAAUCGUAGAUCAGAAUGCUACGGUGAAUACGUUCCCGGGCCUUGUACACACCGCCCGUCACACCAUGGGAGUGGGUUGCAAAGAAGUAGUAGCUUAACCCUUCGGGAGGGCGCUUACCACUUUGUGAUUCAUGACUGGGGUGAAGUCGUAACA
Molecule: ribosomal RNA, 1178 nt
Filed under: uncultured bacterium
Lineage: Bacteria
Description: bacterial SSU rRNA
Rfam family: Bacterial small subunit ribosomal RNA
Source: RNAcentral